CCCUUAGAUGUCCUGGGCUGCACGCGCGCUACACUGAUGUGUCCAGUAAGCACCUAACCUCUUCCGAAAGGAACGGGUAACCUUUGCAAAGCACAUCGUGAUGGGGAUAGAUUAUUGCAAUUAUUAGUCUUGAACGAGGAAUUCCUAGUAAGCACAAGUCAUCAGCUUGUGUUGAUUACGUCCCUGCCCUUUGUACACACCGCCCGUCGCUCCUACCGAUUGAAUGUUCCGGUGAGCUCUUCGGACUGCGCGGUCUGCAGUUUCUGCGUUCCGUGCGGAAAGUUGCGCAAGCCUUAACAUUUAGAGGAAGGAGAAGUCGUAACA
This 324-nucleotide ribosomal RNA is filed under the name uncultured eukaryote. RNAcentral's name for it is "partial 18S ribosomal RNA". It matches the Rfam family "Eukaryotic small subunit ribosomal RNA", at positions 1470 to 1796 of the family's 1831-position model. The record is from RNAcentral.